GACGAACGCUGGCGGCGUGCUUAACACAUGCAAGUCGAACGGAUAGGCCCUGCUUUUGUGGGGUGCUCGAGUGGCGAACGGGUGAGUAACACGUGAGUAACCUGCCCUUGACUUUGGUAUAACUUCAGGAAACUGGGGCUAAUACCGGAUAGGAGCUCCUGCUGCAUGGUGGGGGUUGGAAAGUUUCGGCGGUUGGGGAUGGACUCGCGGCUUAUCAGCUUGUUGGUGGGGUAGUGGCUUACCAAGGCUUUGACGGGUAGCCGGCCUGAGAGGGUGACCGGCCACAUUGGGACUGAGAUACGGCCCAGACUCCUACGGGAGGCAGCAGUGGGGAAUAUUGCACAAUGGGCGGAAGCCUGAUGCAGCAACGCCGCGUGCGGGACGACGGCCUUCGGGUUGUAAACCGCUUUCGCCUGUGACGAAGCGUGAGUGACGGUAAUGGGUAAAGAAGCACCGGCUAACUACGUG
RNAcentral lists this ribosomal RNA (468 nucleotides) under uncultured bacterium. RNAcentral describes it as "partial 16S ribosomal RNA". It matches the Rfam family "Bacterial small subunit ribosomal RNA", at positions 28 to 507 of the family's 1533-position model. The record is from RNAcentral.